UAUAUAUAUUCUUAAAUAAAAAUUAACAUAUAGGAGUUUAAGAAAUUUUUCUUCAUAUUGAAUUCUUCUCUUCUCUUUCUCUUCUAGAUUUUGUUUCUAAAUUUUACCACCAACUCUGCUAAAAGGCCUUGCCUGGUUGCAUUUAGAAGGACUUCUCUUCAAUCAAAUUCAAAAGCAUCAUCCUCAUUUGUAUUCAGAAGAAGUUCAAUGCCCUCUUGCCCACCAAACUGUUCCCCACUUUGUCUUUAACUGUUUAUAUAUUUAUUUUUAUGUACACUUACAUACUCACAUAUGCACAAAGUCAUGCUCAGUUCAAAUUUCAACACAAACAUUGUUUAGCAGCAGAGUUUUGUUUACAAGUUAACUCCCUACAUUCUUUCUUGUGCUAAUGAAUUGUUCCAUAUAAUUGCUUGUUUUUCCCUGUCUUGAUAUGUACAUACAUAUGUAAGGUUCACAAAAUAAGUUCUGCACAACAAUUUUUAUAAAAAAAACUAAAAAAAAAAAAAAAAAAAACCCAGUUUUAUCUGCUUUUAUUAUUUAUCUAAGGAGAACAUGUUGUUGAAAUGUUCUCCAUAAUACUGUAAAAUAAAAAGGUGCACGAAUGUAUGCUUAUUUAUCUAUGUAGACAUAUAUAUAUAUAUAUAUAUAUAUUCAUGCACACAUAGACACAUAAUUUUCUCCAAGUGUGAGCGUGGAAGGAAUCUUACCUUAUGACCAACCCCUUGUUUCUGCUCCAUUCUUUUUCCAACCACGAUUCAUCAUCCUUCACUCAAUAUACAGUUGAGGCCUUCAGUUUUAUAUGUAAAAUAAAUAAAAAUAAAAAGGACGAAAAAUGAGUCAUGCCCUAAUUCAGAGGCACCAGAGCAUUUGUUCUGCAAAAGAAAAUAAAAAGAGGUUUUUGGAAGAAUGGGAAAAAGAGGGAAAAGAGUGGUGGAAGAGAAAAGGGCUCAUUCUUUCUCUCCCCCUUUCAUUCUCACUGUUCUUAAUUGUGCUUCUUCCCCACUGCACAAAGGUAGACAAAUAUCAGCCACCCUCUCUCUUUUGUACGUUUUGACUCUAACCACACAGCCUUUUUUUUCUUCUGAAAUCCUAAUUUCCAUGUGGAAUCUGCCAACUUUAUAAACUUAAAUCCCAAAUGGUACAAAAAAGGGCUCAGUUUUAUUUCAUAAUUCAUUGUUAUAUGUCAUCCUGACAUGGAACAGGUAAACACAUUUUAUAAAAUUGACUUGAAAUCAUUAAGUAAAAUCUAAUACUCGUAAAAGUUGAAAUUGAUAUGUAAGCUGGAUUAGUAAGUGCAAUGCUAGAAAUUUCAAAGUUGGAAGCAAUUACAUUGAAAUAAACAAUGCAUGUUAAUUGCACUUGUUAUAUGUCAUGUAAAUCUCGUGUGAAUGUUAUAUGAACUCAAAUUCAUGAAUAUAUAUAUAUAUAUAUAUAUAUAUAUUCGAAGACAUCUCCUUUGAACUCCAAGUUAAUACUCCAAUGUGUAUAUGUCUUUUACAUAUUUUUUUCAUUGGUUAUUUCUCUCUUUACUCUAUCAUUAUCCCCCCCCCCACCUCCCCCUCCCCCAAGCAAGGCCUACUCAGCGUGGAAAUCCCUCCCUCACUGUCCCGAAAUCAGGCAACCGAGAUCUAGACACACACAUCCAGGAUAAUGGUUUCAACGCAAACAAGAUUAGGGUUGCAGGAUGGUGAACAUGCAAGCAGCGGCACCCCACCCGGGGAGCAAAGGGGGAGGGGAGGGGAGAAGAAAAGAAGGCGUCAGGGGCAGGAAAAAUGGAAAGAGGGAGGCCGGGGAGCUAAGUGUAGUGGUGAGCCAGGCGCCAUGACAGCACGCCAGGCGCGUGACUGCUGCUGCCCGCAGCGACAGAGACGAAAACGACGAAUCCUCCUCUAGCUCCCCCCCACCCCCGCCGGUACCGCAUCUCUAGACCUAAUCAUCAUUCAGCGAGGCCUAGUCAGUCUGACAUGGGCUAAGUGAGAGAGGGGUCCCAGUGUCUCUCUCGCGCUCACCACUCCCCAAGCGUGGAGUGUUGUAUGUGCUUUUGUCUGCUUUCAUGGUGAGAAAAAAAGCGAGAAGGCGGACGGGGAGCAAGCGAGCGAGAGUGAAAGUAAGAGUGAGAGUGAGAGUGAGAGGGAGCUGAAGAUAUCUCACAGCAGCCUCCCUCUCUCCCUUGGCUCCAUGUCGCCAAUCACUCAUCUCGUUACUUCUUCUUCGUUUUCUGCUUCUUCUUCUUCACAGCCCCAGGCUCCUCCCUCCUUCCAUUUCUCCACCUGUG
RNAcentral lists this long non-coding RNA (2275 nucleotides) under Physcomitrium patens. RNAcentral's name for it is "long non-coding RNA (PPAT_LNC013968)". The record is from RNAcentral. Lineage: Eukaryota; Viridiplantae; Streptophyta; Bryopsida; Funariales; Funariaceae.